This is a long non-coding RNA of Sinocyclocheilus grahami, 326 nucleotides long. RefSeq lists it as uncharacterized. The record is from RefSeq and is a predicted model, not a curated record. The transcript is spliced from 3 exons. NCBI's taxonomy places the organism in Eukaryota, Metazoa, Chordata, Actinopteri, Cypriniformes, Cyprinidae.
GCUUCCUCAGGGGUCCUGAUGCCCCGGCAGAGUGGGAGUGUGCUAGAAUAGAAGAGGCCUACAAAAAUGAAGAGCAAAGCUUCAGUCUGGCAGAUUUGAAGGACCCUGGUGUCUUUAAGCCUUUAGGCAUAGGCAUUAUGAUGAUGCUCCUCCAGCAAAUGACUGGCAUUAAUGCCAUCAUGUUUUAUGCAAAGACAAUCUUCGAGCAGGCCCAUUUUGAAAGCAGCGACGUGGCCACUGUUAUUGUUGCAGCCACACAGGUGGUCUUCACUGCUAUUGCUGCUAUCAUCAUGGACAAGGCUGGGCGGAAAGCUCUACUCAUCUUG